Arachis ipaensis is the source of this 1139-nucleotide long non-coding RNA. RefSeq lists it as uncharacterized. The record is from RefSeq and is a predicted model, not a curated record. Lineage: Eukaryota; Viridiplantae; Streptophyta; Magnoliopsida; Fabales; Fabaceae.
UUUUCUUAAUUCAAAAACAAAUUAAAAAAAAAAAAAACCAAAGCAACUUUCCGUGGAACUUGAUGACACAAGCCUCGCGCAAAACGCCGAGUAGUAGCAUUUAGCACCACCAAACAGAAUGCUUUUCACACUUUUCAAGGCACCUGGCGCUAAACGUUGGGUAGUGGCGUCACCUUCACAAAAUCAUUGCACAAAUUACGAGGCCCUCAUCGUUGAAUGCCGAAUCGUGUAGUUUAGCGCCAUCUUCACAUAAUGCUGGCACAAAUUUUGAGGUUUGCGGCGCUAAACGCCGGGUAGUAGCGUUUAGUGCCAGCUUGAUAGCAACCAUUUUUAUCCCUUUUCUUCUGCACGAAUUUUGUCAAAUUCGCCCGAAUUUUACCUGUAAUCAACAAAAUAGCAAUACAACUCAAAGUAGCAUUAAUGAUGGUCUAAAGCACCAAAAUCUCAUGAAAACUCAACAAAUUCACAUCAAAUUUACUAAGAAAAGAUAGGAAAGAUGUUCACGCAUCACAUGUAUCCAUGUUCAUGAAGUUUCGAGGAGAGGAGCACCAUCAAUAUUUGUCCAUGUCUUUACAAAUCUUAGUAUUGGGUCCGAUCUUAGCUCCAUUCGAGGUUGUGGACAGCAAAAUUGUGCUGCAAAAUGGCAGAGAGGUGCACCAGGUACUUAUCCAAUGGGGCCAAGGCUCCGGCAUAGGAGAAUACAUUAGAGUUUAUGAAAGAUUAUUCUUUGUUUCAACUUUGAAGACAAGGUUGACGUUAAAGAAGGUAAUAAUGUUAUGAAUAGAGGGGUAAAUAAGGAAAGAAAUAUUGUAACAAACUCCAAAAUGAAUGAAGUCUGCACCACUAAUGAUAGUUGGUAAGGCAAGAAGGAUAAGUGUCAGACAAUCCGCAAAUUCAGAAUCUCAAAAAGGGGCAACAGAACGAGAGCUACAAAUAGGAAGUUGCAGGAUUUUUAGUGGCAGCUGAAUGUGGUCCUUGACGUAGGGAAUUUCUGCUACAUGUCCUCUACAUCCACGUACCUGUAUUCCUUUCGUAUUUCCUAAAGUUAUCUAUAUUUCGUUUAUUUUUCCAUGUAAUUACUCAUACCAGACUUCAGCGUUACAUUGAUUAUUGAAUUUCUAUUACUGUUUCUUUGAUUA